Molecule: ribosomal RNA, 286 nt
Filed under: uncultured bacterium
Lineage: Bacteria
Description: partial 16S ribosomal RNA
Rfam family: Bacterial small subunit ribosomal RNA
Source: RNAcentral
GAUGAACGCUAGCGGUGUGCCUAAUGCAUGCAAGUCGAACGGGAAGUCUUGAUUAUAUUGAGACUGAGAGUGGCGGACGGGUGAGUAACACGUAGGUGACCUGCCCUAGAGAGGGGAAUAACCAGUGGAAACGCUGGCUAAUACCCCAGAAGUCAGCAAAGUUAGAGGUUGUUGACUAAAGCUACGGUGCUCUAGGAGGGGCCUGCGGCCCAUCAGCUAGUUGGNGAGGUAACGGCUCACCAAGGCAGAGACGGGUAGGGGCGUGAGAGCGUCGACCCCCACCACU